AACGCUAGCUACAGGCUUAACACAUGCAAGUCGAGGGGCAGCAUGAACUUAGCUUGCUAAGUUUGAUGGCGACCGGCGCACGGGUGAGUAACACGUAUCCAACCUGCCGAUGACUCGGGGAUAGCCUUUCGAAAGAAAGAUUAAUACCCGAUGGCAUAGUUCUUCCGCAUGGUAGAACUAUUAAAGAAUUUCGGUCAUCGAUGGGGAUGCGUUCCAUUAGGUUGUUGGCGGGGUAACGGCCCACCAAGCCUUCGAUGGAUAGGGGUUCUGAGAGGAAGGUCCCCCACAUUGGAACUGAGACACGGUCCAAACUCCUACGGGAGGCAGCAGUGAGGAAUAUUGGUCGAUGGACGAGAGUCUGAACCAGCCAAGUAGCGUGAAGGAUGACUGCCCUAUGGGUUGUAAACUUCUUUUAUACGGGAAUAAAGUGAGGCACGUGUGCCUUUUUGUAUGUACCGUAUGAAUAAGGAUCGGCUAACUCCGUGCCAGCAGCCGCGGUAAUACGGAGGAUCCGAGCGUUAUCCGGAUUUAUUGGGUUUAAAGGGAGCGUAGGCGGACGCUUAAGUCAGUUGUGAAAGUUUGCGGCUCAACCGUAAAAUUGCAGUUGAUACUGGGUGUCUUGAGUACAGUAGAGGCAGGCGGAAUUCGUGGUGUAGCGGUGAAAUGCUUAGAUAUCACGAAGAACUCCGAUUG
Molecule: ribosomal RNA, 693 nt
Filed under: uncultured bacterium
Lineage: Bacteria
Description: bacterial SSU rRNA
Rfam family: Bacterial small subunit ribosomal RNA
Source: RNAcentral